RNAcentral lists this transfer RNA (72 nucleotides) under Polyplacotoma mediterranea. Its description in RNAcentral is "tRNA-Gln". It matches the Rfam family "tRNA". From Rfam's summary of the family: Transfer RNA (tRNA) molecules are approximately 80 nucleotides in length. Their secondary structure includes four short double-helical elements and three loops (D, anti-codon, and T loops). Further hydrogen bonds mediate the characteristic L-shaped molecular structure. tRNAs have two regions of fundamental functional importance: the anti-codon, which is responsible for specific mRNA codon recognition, and the 3' end, to which the tRNAs corresponding amino acid is attached (by aminoacyl-tRNA synthetases). tRNAs cope with the degeneracy of the genetic code in two manners: having more than one tRNA (with a specific anti-codon) for a particular amino acid; and 'wobble' base-pairing, i.e. permitting non-standard base-pairing at the 3rd anti-codon position. Lineage: Eukaryota; Metazoa; Placozoa. The record is from RNAcentral.
UGGGGGGUAGUUAAACAGGUAAAACAUCAGAAUUUGACUCUGAAGUUGUGGGUUCGGGUCCCACCCCCCCAA